This 519-nucleotide ribosomal RNA is filed under the name uncultured bacterium. RNAcentral describes it as "bacterial SSU rRNA". It matches the Rfam family "Bacterial small subunit ribosomal RNA", at positions 791 to 1304 of the family's 1533-position model. The record is from RNAcentral.
UAGUCCACGCCGUAAACGAUGUCUAUUAGGAGUCUGUGGCCUUGAGCCGUGGGUUCCAAAGCUAACGCAUUAAAUAGACCGCCUGGGGAGUACGGCCGCAAGGUUAAAACUCAAAUGAAUUGACGGGGCCCGCACAAGCGGUGGAGCAUGUGGUUUAAUUCGAUGCAACGCGAAGAACCUUACCUACCCUUGACAUCCAGAGAACUUACCAGAGAUGGUUUGGUGCCUUCGGGAACUCUGAGACAGGUGCUGCAUGGCUGUCGUCAGCUCGUGUUGUGAAAUGUUGGGUUAAGUCCCGCAACGAGCGCAACCCUUGUCCUAUGUUGCCAGCGCGUAAUGGCGGGAACUCAUGGGAGACUGCCGGUGAUAAACCGGGAGGAAGGUGGGGACGACGUCAAGUCAUCAUGGCCCUUACGAGUAGGGGCUACACACGUGCUACAAUGGGUCGGUACAAAGGGGUUGCGGAACUAGCGAUAGUAAGCCAAUCCCAUAAAGCCGGGUCGUAGUCCGGGAUCGGGA